GAGCAGCAUGGAUGGUGUGGUUGGCUGAGGGAACUGCAACACAACAGACAGCCCAGUGCUUGUAGGGACUGGGGAAGCACAGGAGAGCUCUUGGCUUGCUACUGGACCUGAGCUUAGAAGAUCCGUCAGCUAAGGGCAAAAAGGAAGAAAGAAGCAGGAAGAGGUACAGUAGGAAGAAGAGAAAAUGAAUAACAGGGAGAAGGUGGUGGAAGAGGAAGGAAAAUGAGGGACUGAAGUUAUAGAUGAGAAAUUCUCAGAAAAAGAGAUGAGGCAUAGAGGUGACCAAGACAUUUUUCCUGGAUAUGAAUUUCACUUCCCCCUGCCUUGUGUCUGGCCCAUCCCACCUGUUAUAAAAGUAUAUUUUUAAAAUUUC
This is a long non-coding RNA of Chelonia mydas (Green sea turtle), 373 nucleotides long. RefSeq lists it as uncharacterized. The transcript is spliced from 3 exons. Lineage: Eukaryota; Metazoa; Chordata; Testudines; Cheloniidae. The record is from RefSeq and is a predicted model, not a curated record.